UACGUAGGGUGCAAGCGUUGUCCGGAAUUAUUGGGCGUAAAGAGCUUGUAGGCGGUUUGUCGCGUCUGCUGUGAAAAUCCGGGGCUCAACCCCGGACUUGCAGUGGGUACGGGCAGACUAGAGUGCAGUAGGGGAGACUGGAAUUCCUGGUGUAGCGGUGAAAUGCGCAGAUAUCAGGAGGAACACCGAUGGCGAAGGCAGGUCUCUGGGCUGUAACUG
Molecule: ribosomal RNA, 219 nt
Filed under: uncultured bacterium
Lineage: Bacteria
Description: partial 16S ribosomal RNA
Rfam family: Bacterial small subunit ribosomal RNA
Source: RNAcentral